RNAcentral lists this ribosomal RNA (496 nucleotides) under uncultured bacterium. Its description in RNAcentral is "partial 16S ribosomal RNA". It matches the Rfam family "Bacterial small subunit ribosomal RNA", at positions 28 to 506 of the family's 1533-position model. The record is from RNAcentral.
GAUGAACGCUGGCGGCGUGCCUAAUACAUGCAAGUCGAGCGAACAGACUAGUAGCUUGCUCCUCUGUCGAUAGCCGAGGGCGGGUGAGAAACAUGUGGAUAACGUCCUUAUAAUACGGGUAUGCCUGCGAGAAACCGUAUCUAAUACCGUAUAAUAUAUGGUACCGCAUGGUUGAAGAGUGAAAUACGGGUUUGCGGUCACUUAUAGGUGUAUCCGCGUCUUAUGAGGGAGUUGGUAAGGUAACGGCUUACCAGGGCGCCGAUGCGUAGCCGACUAGAGGGGGUGAUCGCCCACACAGGAGCUGAGACGCGGUCCAGACACCUACGGGAGGCAGCAGUAGGGAAGCUUCCGCAAUGGACGGAAGACUGCCGGAGCAACGCCGCGUGAGUGCUGAAGGUCUGCGGAUCGGAAAACUCUGUUAUUAGGGAAGAACAAAUGUGUAAGUAACUAUGCACGUCUUGACGGUACCUAAUCAGAAAGACACGGCUAAUUCCGU